This 522-nucleotide ribosomal RNA is filed under the name unidentified nematode Sourhope farm. RNAcentral describes it as "SSU rRNA". It matches the Rfam family "Eukaryotic small subunit ribosomal RNA", at positions 89 to 626 of the family's 1831-position model. The record is from RNAcentral. Lineage: Eukaryota; Metazoa; Nematoda.
GCGCACGGCUCAUUAGAGCAGAUAUCACCUUAUCCGGGAUCCUCAUAUGGAUAACUGCGGAAAUACUGGAGCUAAUACAUGCAACUAUACCCCAACGCAAGGCGGGGUGCAAUUAUUAGAACAGACCAAACGUUUUCGGACGUUGUUUGUUGACUCUGAAUAAAGCAGUUUACUGUCAGUUUCGACUGACUCUAUCCGGAAAGGGUGUCUGCCCUUUCAACUAGAUGGUAGUUUAUUGGACUACCAUGGUUGUUACGGGUAACGGAGAAUAAGGGUUCGACUCCGGAGAGGGAGCCUUAGAAACGGCUACCACGUCCAAGGAAGGCAGCAGGCGCGAAACUUAUCCACUGUUGAGUAUGAGAUAGUGACUAAAAAUAUAAAGACUCAUCCUUUUGGAUGAGUUAUUUCAAUGAGUUGAAUACAAAUGAUUCUUCGAGUAGCAAGGAGAGGGCAAGUCUGGUGCCAGCAGCCGCGGUAAUUCCAGCUCUCCUAGUGUAUCUCGUUAUUGCUGCGGUUAAAAAG